AAUCAACGCUGGCGGCGUGCCUAACACAUGCAAGUCGAACGAGAAAGUGGAGCAAUCCAUGAGUAAAGUGGCGACCGGGUGAGUAACACGUGACCAAUCUACCCUUGAGUGGGGGAUAACCUCGGGAAACCGGGGCUAAUACCGCAUAGCAUCUUCGGAUCGGAAGAACUGGAGAUCAAAGGAGCAAUUCGCUUAAGGAGGAGGUCGCGGCUGAUUAGCUAGUUGGCGGGGUAAUGGCCCACCAAGGCUUAGAUCGGUAGCCGGCCUGAGAGGGCGCACGGCCACACUGGAACUGAAACACGGUCCAGACUCCUACGGGAGGCAGCAGUGGGGAACUUUGCGCAAUGGGGGAAACCCUGACGCAGCAACGCCGCGUGGAGGAUGAAGUCCCUUGGGACGUAAACUCC
RNAcentral lists this ribosomal RNA (407 nucleotides) under uncultured bacterium. RNAcentral describes it as "bacterial SSU rRNA". It matches the Rfam family "Bacterial small subunit ribosomal RNA", at positions 32 to 433 of the family's 1533-position model. The record is from RNAcentral.